GACGAACCGUGCGAACGUUAUUCGGAAUCACUGGGCUUAAAGGGCGCGUAGGCGGGUCCGUCCGUCAGGGGUGAAAUCCCACGGCCCAACCGUGGAAGUGCCUUUGAUACUGCGGGCCUCGAGGGGGAUAGGGGCGUGCGGAACUCAGGGUGGAGCGGUGAAAUGCGUAGAUAUCCUGAGGAACACCGGUGGCGAAAGCGGCGCGCUGGAUCCCUUCUGACGCUGAGGCGCGAAAGCUAGGGGAGCAAACGGG
This 253-nucleotide ribosomal RNA is filed under the name uncultured bacterium. Its description in RNAcentral is "partial 16S ribosomal RNA". It matches the Rfam family "Bacterial small subunit ribosomal RNA", at positions 524 to 776 of the family's 1533-position model. The record is from RNAcentral.